This 24-nucleotide transfer RNA is filed under the name Oschmarinella rochebruni. Its description in RNAcentral is "partial tRNA-Lys". The record is from RNAcentral. Lineage: Eukaryota; Metazoa; Platyhelminthes; Trematoda; Plagiorchiida; Brachycladiidae.
GGAUGUGUUUGACUUCUUCCGGAG